UUUAUGGAGAGUUUGAUCCUGGCUCAGAGUGAACGCUGGCGGCGUGCCUAAUACAUGCAAGUCGAACGAUGAAGCUUCUAGCUUGCUAGAAGUGGAUUAGUGGCGCACGGGUGAGUAACGCAUAGGUCAUGUGCCUCUUAGUUUGGGAUAGCCAUUGGAAACGAUGAUUAAUACCAGAUACUCCCUAUGGGGGAAAGAUUUAUCGCUGAGAGAUCAGCCUAUGUCCUAUCAGCUUGUUGGUAAGGUAAUGGCUUACCAAGGCUAUGACGGGUAUCCGGCCUGAGAGGGUGAACGGACACACUGGAACUGAGACACGGUCCAGACUCCUACGGGAGGCAGCAGUAGGGAAUAUUGCUCAAUGGGGGAAACCCUGAAGCAGCAACGCCGCGUGGAGGAUGAAGGUUUUAGGAUUGUAAACUCCUUUUGUUAGAGAAGAUAAUGACGGUAUCUAACGAAUAAGCACCGGCUAACUCCGUGCCAGCAGCCGCGGUAAUACGGAGGGUGCAAGCGUUACUCGGAAUCACUGGGCGUAAAGAGCGCGUAGGCGGGAUAGUCAGUCAGGUGUGAAAUCCUAUGGCUUAACCAUAGAACUGCAUUUGAAACUACUAUUCUAGAGUGUGGGAGAGGUAGGUGGAAUUCUUGGUGUAGGGGUAAAAUCCGUAGAGAUCAAGAGGAAUACUCAUUGCGAAGGCGACCUACUGGAACAUUACUGACGCUGAUUGCGCGAAAGCGUGGGGAGCAAACAGGAUUAGAUACCCUGGUAGUCCACGCCCUAAACGAUGGAUGCUAGUUGUUGGAGGGCUUAGUCUCUCCAGUAAUGCAGCUAACGCAUUAAGCAUCCCGCCUGGGGAGUACGGUCGCAAGAUUAAAACUCAAAGGAAUAGACGGGGACCCGCACAAGCGGUGGAGCAUGUGGUUUAAUUCGAAGAUACACGAAGAACCUUACCUAGGCUUGACAUUGAGAGAAUCCGCUAGAAAUAGUGGAGUGUCUGGCUUGCUAGACCUUGAAAACAGGUGCUGCACGGCUGUCGUCAGCUCGUGUCGUGAGAUGUUGGGUUAAGUCCCGCAACGAGCGCAACCCCCUUUCUUAGUUGCUAACAGGUCAUGCUGAGAACUCUAAGGAUACUGCCUCCGUAAGGAGGAGGAAGGUGGGGACGACGUCAAGUCAUCAUGGCCCUUACGCCUAGGGCUACACACGUGCUACAAUGGGGUGCACAAAGAGAAGCAAUACUGCGAAGUGGAGCCAAUCUUCAAAACACCUCUCAGUUCGGAUUGUAGGCUGCAACUCGCCUGCAUGAAGCUGGAAUCGCUAGUAAUCGCAAAUCAGCCAUGUUGCGGUGAAUACGUUCCCGGGUCUUGUACUCACCGCCCGUCACACCAUGGGAGUUGUGUUUGCCUUAAGUCAGGAUGCUAAAUUGGCUACUGCCCACGGCACACACAGCGACUGGGGUGAAGUCGUAACAAGGUAACCGUAGGUGAACCUGCGGUUGGAUCACCUCCUUUCUAGA
This 1508-nucleotide ribosomal RNA is filed under the name Helicobacter pylori. RNAcentral describes it as "bacterial SSU rRNA". It matches the Rfam family "Bacterial small subunit ribosomal RNA". Lineage: Bacteria; Pseudomonadati; Campylobacterota; Epsilonproteobacteria; Campylobacterales; Helicobacteraceae. The record is from RNAcentral.